RNAcentral lists this transfer RNA (90 nucleotides) under Patescibacteria group bacterium. Its description in RNAcentral is "tRNA-Tyr". It matches the Rfam family "tRNA". From Rfam's summary of the family: Transfer RNA (tRNA) molecules are approximately 80 nucleotides in length. Their secondary structure includes four short double-helical elements and three loops (D, anti-codon, and T loops). Further hydrogen bonds mediate the characteristic L-shaped molecular structure. tRNAs have two regions of fundamental functional importance: the anti-codon, which is responsible for specific mRNA codon recognition, and the 3' end, to which the tRNAs corresponding amino acid is attached (by aminoacyl-tRNA synthetases). tRNAs cope with the degeneracy of the genetic code in two manners: having more than one tRNA (with a specific anti-codon) for a particular amino acid; and 'wobble' base-pairing, i.e. permitting non-standard base-pairing at the 3rd anti-codon position. The record is from RNAcentral.
GGUUGGUUGCCCGAGUGGUCGAAGGGAGCGGUCUGUAAAACCGUUAUACCAAAAAUUACACGGUUGGUUCGAAUCCAUCACCAACCACUA